GAUGAACGCUGGCGGCGUGCCUAAUACAUGCAAGUCGAGCGAACAGACGAGGAGCUUGCUCCUCUGACGUUAGCGGCGGACGGGUGAGUAACACGUGGAUAACCUACCUAUAAGACUGGGAUAACUUCGGGAAACCGGAGCUAAUACCGGAUAAUAUAUUGAACCGCAUGGUUCAAUAGUGAAAGACGGUUUUGCUGUCACUUAUAGAUGGAUCCGCGCCGCAUUAGCUAGUUGGUAAGGUAACGGCUUACCAAGGCAACGAUGCGUAGCCGACCUGAGAGGGUGAUCGGCCACACUGGAACUGAGACACGGUCCAGACUCCUACGGGAGGCAGCAGUAGGGAAUCUUCUGCAAUGGGCGAAAGCCUGAUGGAGCAACGCCGCGUGAGUGAUGAAGGUCUUCGGAUCGUAAAACUCUGUUAUUAGGGAAGAACAAAUGUGUAAGUAACUAUGCACGUCUUGACGGUACCUAAUCAGAAAGCCACGGCUAACUACGUG
Molecule: ribosomal RNA, 497 nt
Filed under: uncultured bacterium
Lineage: Bacteria
Description: partial 16S ribosomal RNA
Rfam family: Bacterial small subunit ribosomal RNA
Source: RNAcentral